This 524-nucleotide ribosomal RNA is filed under the name uncultured bacterium. RNAcentral's name for it is "bacterial SSU rRNA". It matches the Rfam family "Bacterial small subunit ribosomal RNA", at positions 984 to 1509 of the family's 1533-position model. The record is from RNAcentral.
ACAUCCAGAGAAGCUUGUAGAGAUACGAGUGUGCCUUCGGGAGCUCUGAGACAGGUGCUGCAUGGCUGUCGUCAGCUCGUGUUGUGAAAUGUUGGGUUAAGUCCGCAACGAGCGCAACCCUUAUCCUUGUUUGCCAGCACUUCGGGUGGGAACUCCAGGGAGACUGCCGGUGAUAAACCGGAGGAAGGUGGGGACGACGUCAAGUCAUCAUGGCCCUUACGAGUAGGGCUACACACGUGCUACAAUGGCGCAUACAGAGGGCGGCGAGCCAGCGAUGGUGAGCGAAUCCCAAAAAGUGCGUCGUAGUCCGGAUUGGAGUCUGCAACUCGACUCCAUGAAGUCGGAAUCGCUAGUAAUCGUGGAUCAGAAUGCCACGGUGAAUACGUUCCCGGGCCUUGUACACACCGCCCGUCACACCAUGGGAGUGGGCUGCAAAAGAAGUGGGUAGUUUAACCUUAGGGGGGACGCUCACCACUUUGUGGUUCAUGACUGGGGUGAAGUCGUAACAAGGUAGGCGUAGUGCU